GCACGAAGUUAGCCGGGACUUAUUCUCCGGGUACCGUCAUUAUCGUCCCCGGCAAAAGAGCUUUACAACCCUAAGGCCUUCAUCACUCACGCGGCAUGGCUGGAUCAGGCUUGCGCCCAUUGUCCAAUAUUCCCCA
RNAcentral lists this ribosomal RNA (136 nucleotides) under uncultured bacterium. RNAcentral describes it as "partial 16S ribosomal RNA". The record is from RNAcentral.